GAUGAACGCUGGCGGCGUGCCUAAUACAUGCAAGUCGAGCGAACAGACGAGGAGCUUGCUCCUCUGACGUUAGCGGCGGACGGGUGAGUAACACGUGGAUAACCUACCUAUAAGACUGGGAUAACUUCGGGAAACCGGAGCUAAUACCGGAUAAUAUAUUGAACCGCAUGGUUCAAUAGUGAAAGACGGUUUUGCUGUCACUUAUAGAUGGAUCCGCGCCGCAUUAGCUAGUUGGUAAGGUAACGGCUUACCAAGGCGACGAUGCGUAGCCGACCUGAGAGGGUGAUCGGCCACACUGGAACUGAGACACGGUCCAGACUCCUACGGGAGGCAGCAGUAGGGAAUCUUCCGCAAUGGGCGAAAGCCUGACGGAGCAACGCCGCGUGAGUGAUGAAGGUUUUCGGAUCGUAAAACUCUGUUAUUAGGGAAGAACAAAUGUGUAAGUAACUAUGCACGUCUUGACGGUACCUAAUCAGAAAGCCAAGGCUAACUACGUG
Molecule: ribosomal RNA, 497 nt
Filed under: uncultured bacterium
Lineage: Bacteria
Description: partial 16S ribosomal RNA
Rfam family: Bacterial small subunit ribosomal RNA
Source: RNAcentral